This is a long non-coding RNA of Sebastes umbrosus (honeycomb rockfish), 309 nucleotides long. RefSeq lists it as uncharacterized. NCBI's taxonomy places the organism in Eukaryota, Metazoa, Chordata, Actinopteri, Perciformes, Sebastidae. The transcript has 3 exons. The record is from RefSeq and is a predicted model, not a curated record.
GAGCCAACAAAUCUUAGAGACUGUGAAAGCCUUUAACGAAGAAGGACUGAAAGACGGAGGGACAGAUAGACGGACGGAAGGACGGACACCACGUUGUCGCGGAGGUUUUUCAGGAAGUUUAUCGACUGUGAAUCUUCAGACGCAGAUGUCUGCUAUAUUGGAAGUAAAGUUUCCCAGCUGGAAAUAGUUCUGAGGAGAAAUCUGACUUGAUCAGCUGGUGUUUCCAGGAGAGUAACUCCUGCGUUCCACAUGUCGGCGUCGGCUGAUUGGAUCCAGGAGGACGCCGCUCAUUGAUUAGCCUUGGCAGAA